GCAGAGUAGAUGAAAGUGCGUCAAGUGCCCGGGGGACGGAGAGUUGCCGCCGGGACGAAAAGACAUUUGUUUCAGGUCUUGCGGUUCUUUCGUCGCAUCCCGCUGC
RNAcentral lists this non-coding RNA (106 nucleotides) under bovine gut metagenome. RNAcentral describes it as "THF riboswitch". It matches the Rfam family "THF (Tetrahydrofolate) riboswitch aptamer". From Rfam's summary of the family: THF riboswitch presents a pseudoknot that joins P1-P2 and the loop of P3 and two THF binding. The record is from RNAcentral. RNAcentral also lists the same sequence under 1 other name.